UCACAGAUUCCGGGUCCUUUUGUUUCAGUUGAAUUUAGACAUAACCUUGAGUGGCUCUUCCCUACACUGUAAGACACUGUAAAUUGCACAUGUAUUACCUCCCUGGGAUGUGAUGAAACUUCUCCUCCUUCUCCGGGAAGCUAGGCUACGUACAGCAAGAGGACACCAGAAGACAUAUGAGUGCACCUUUCUGACAGCAAUGCAUUAAACCCGUGCCAUCUUCCCACCGUGUCUUUGGGAACCUGUGGAUCAAGUCAGUGUGUUACUGGAAUUAAGAAAUGAAAUGUCUUUAUGCAAGCAUUCAUCCUAAAGGGCCGUGGGGCUCGGGGCCAGGCACUGCCUUGUCACUGAGCGGGCAGAGGAGGACCCCAUGGCCCAGCCUCGGCCGGCUCGCUCCCAAAGCUGGCAGAGCAGGACAGAGGUAAGUGAGAUCAUGUCACCAAUACCUCAGUCGCUGCCGGAGCAUGAAGGAGGGGGUGCGAUCCUACUGCUGGGGGGAUGCCCAACUCGAGAAAGUGUCCUGUGAGCCAGGACGUGAACUCGCGCCCUCAGGAGCUUUCAUGUGCAGAAUGAGACCACAUCUGCUGGCGAAAGUCCUGAGGGACACGCCUGCUGCUGGGAUGUCCUGGGAGCCUGUGAUCGCGCAUUAUGUGCAAUUAAUCGGAAAUUAGGCUUGAGAUGUGGACGGGAAACAAACGGAGGAUGGUCUUUGGGGUUUGGACAGGAUACUGUUUUGUGAGAAUUCUCAACAGAAACUUGCAAACUGCAAAUUAGAAACCGAGACACACCUUGUGGCCUCCAGCUUGCUCCAUAGCCGGGUUUCACCAGCGCCUCCUCCCCCCGCUCCAGAUGCUGACCCAAUCACGCACCCACAGCUGAGUCCGUGGAGCACGCGGUGCCGUCUUUCACAAUUGGGAACAUUGAAACGUGUGCCAAGAUGAUGGUGUGUGUGUGCGUGUGUGCGCGAGUGUGUGCGGCAGAGGCAAAAUUAUCAAGAUGAGUCAUAACCAUGCCUCUGUCUGAAAGAAAGAGAUAACAGAGAGACGUUUCCUGCACUACGGGGCCUGCACAGCUACUUGCACGCGCCUCCAACCCACCACCUUGUUUCCAGGAGCAGUUGCUUUUCUCACCACACAUCGGACUCACUACUCUUCCAAACCCAGAAGACAAUUUGCUUUCAGAUCCCGUCUGAACAACUGUUUUCUCCAACCGGAUGCUCAAUUUACUUAAAAUAAAUAUGCACCAAUUUGCGUGUUACUAAUGGAACUGUUUUCUGGUAUUUCCAAAGGAAUUAUUACAGCCUCGCUGUCUCCGUCUCUGUGCAUCUCUGUGUCCCUCUGUCUCUCCUUGAGAGGACCAGGAGAGGCCGAAAUGGACACCAAACGCCGAGGUUCCGUGGGAAAUCGGGUCAUAAAAAGGAAGGAAAUAAGAAAAUGUUGCUCACAAUGGGCUACUCACCUGCCAAGGUCCUGCACAGGGUUCCUUCUCUAUCCUAAGGGCUCACACCCCUUCUAGCUCCCAAAAUGCACUUCCACAGGGGAAAUUAUAAGCAUGUAAUAUGUUCUCUUCUGACCAAAAACAUCUGCCUAGUGGGGAGGCCAAGAGACACCUGGCAUCAUAGGCCGAGAGCAGCCCCUAGCUCCCAUUCCAGUGUUUACCUGGAAAAUAAAACGGCCAGUUAUUUGACCAGCAAAAUGAGUUUGUUCAGGAAUAGCAGAAGAGUUGCAAUUUGGGACAAGCAAAGUAUGACAAACUGAGACAAUGCAGGUUGUGAGAACGGCAUGUGUGCAAGAGCGUCCACUUCUAUUACUCCCGGUCCAGGGAGACAGAACACAUACGCUGGAGGCAUGGCAAACAGGGGGCAAGGCAGGCUCCUCAGUGAGCAGGGAGCGCUAGGCAGGGCUGGAUCCCAAGACCCUGAGAUCAGGACCUGAGCUGAGGGCAGAUGCUUAACCGACUGAGCCACUCAGAAUAACACCCAGUGCUCAUCCCGUCAAAUGCCCCCCUCAGGGCCAUUUCUUAAAUCUUUAUACUCAGCGGUGGGGCUCGAAUUCACACUUCAAGAUCAAGAGUCACACGUUCUGCUGAGUCAACCAUGCCCUCCGGGGAAUAGACUGACUCUUGUGUCCACAUCCACACUUCCCUGAAUGAAGCCCUCUCCAGUCCUGGCCAAGUCUGGAGGAAGCUCCCUGGUGUUGAGAAUGCCCUCUGCCUCCCUUCUCCUACUGUUUUCACUUCUGCGCCUCCACUGACCCGAUGCCCCGAUGUAUCUGCGUCUUCCCAGCGUGGUAACUCCAGGGCCCAACUCCGAGUCUGUCACACUCUGGACCCGCAGUGAACACACGCCUAGCAAACGGAUGAACUGUUGGCCCAGCCCGGUAGAGCCGUGCCUCGCGGAUGGUAAUGAAAAUAGGUUUGCAAGGACUAGAGCCUCUCAUCCCAAGGAACUCCGCAGUGCUUCUGGAGUGAGGAAGUCUCUUCUGACCACAUCAUUUAACUUGACUUCUUAAAAUAACUACAAAUAGCAGGGAUAAUUUUCAGCCUUUAGGCAAAAUAAAUUACGUUCAAUAAUUUUC
Long non-coding RNA from Canis lupus familiaris (dog), 2576 nucleotides. RefSeq lists it as uncharacterized. The record is from RefSeq and is a predicted model, not a curated record. Lineage: Eukaryota; Metazoa; Chordata; Mammalia; Carnivora; Canidae. The transcript has 6 exons.